RNAcentral lists this ribosomal RNA (868 nucleotides) under uncultured Corynebacterium sp. RNAcentral's name for it is "bacterial SSU rRNA". It matches the Rfam family "Bacterial small subunit ribosomal RNA", at positions 35 to 916 of the family's 1533-position model. The record is from RNAcentral. Lineage: Bacteria; Bacillati; Actinomycetota; Actinomycetes; Mycobacteriales; Corynebacteriaceae.
GCUGGCGGCGUGCUUAACACAUGCAAGUCGAACGGAAAGGCCCCGCUUGCGGGGUACUCGAGUGGCGAACGGGUGAGUAACACGUGGGUGAUCUACCCUGCACUUCGGGAUAAGCCUGGGAAACCGGGUCUAAUACCGGAUAGGACCCCUCUUUAGUGUGGGGGGUGGAAAGUUUUUUCGGUGUGGGAUGAGCCCGCGGCCUAUCAGCUUGUUGGUGGGGUAAUGGCCUACCAAGGCGUCGACGGGUAGCCGGCCUGAGAGGGUGGACGGCCACAUUGGGACUGAGAUACGGCCCAGACUCCUACGGGAGGCAGCAGUGGGGAAUAUUGCACAAUGGGCGGAAGCCUGAUGCAGCGACGCCGCGUGGGGGAUGACGGCCUUCGGGUUGUAAACCUCUUUCGCUAGGGACGAAGCUUUUGUGACGGUACCUAGAUAAGAAGCACCGGCUAACUACGUGCCAGCAGCCGCGGUAAUACGUAGGGUGCGAGCGUUGUCCGGAAUUACUGGGCGUAAAGAGCUCGUAGGUGGUUUGUCGCGUCGUCUGUGAAAUUCCGGGGCUUAACCUCGGGCGUGCAGGCGAUACGGGCAAUACUUGAGUGCUGUAGGGGAGACUGGAAUUCCUGGUGUAGCGGUGGAAUGCGCAGAUAUCAGGAGGAACACCGAUGGCGAAGGCAGGUCUCUGGGCAGUAACUGACGCUGAGGAGCGAAAGCAUGGGUAGCGAACAGGAUUAGAUACCCUGGUAGUCCAUGCCGUAAACGGUGGGCGCUAGGUGUAGGGGUCUUCCACGACUUCUGUGCCGUAGCUAACGCAUUAAGCGCCCCGCCUGGGGAGUACGGCCGCAAGGCUAAAACUCAAAGGAAUUGACGG